Gossypium raimondii (Peruvian cotton) is the source of this 144-nucleotide non-coding RNA. The record is from Rfam. NCBI's taxonomy places the organism in Eukaryota, Viridiplantae, Streptophyta, Magnoliopsida, Malvales, Malvaceae.
UGUUAAAAAUUUCAUCUAUUUUUAUUGUUAAAAACUUACGUAAUUGACGAAAGAACUAGACAGUUACACAUGGCGUGUCAUGUGUACCUCAAGUUAACGUACAAAGAUUUGUUUUUUAUAAUAAAAAUGAAUGAAUUUUUAACA